GGAGGUGUCGCAUAGCGGUCCAUUGCACAGGUUUGCUAAACCUGCGAGCUGAGAGGCUCACGUGGGUUCAAAUCCCACCACCUCCGCCC
This 89-nucleotide transfer RNA is filed under the name Candidatus Roizmanbacteria bacterium RIFCSPHIGHO2_02_FULL_43_11. RNAcentral's name for it is "tRNA-Ser". It matches the Rfam family "tRNA". From Rfam's summary of the family: Transfer RNA (tRNA) molecules are approximately 80 nucleotides in length. Their secondary structure includes four short double-helical elements and three loops (D, anti-codon, and T loops). Further hydrogen bonds mediate the characteristic L-shaped molecular structure. tRNAs have two regions of fundamental functional importance: the anti-codon, which is responsible for specific mRNA codon recognition, and the 3' end, to which the tRNAs corresponding amino acid is attached (by aminoacyl-tRNA synthetases). tRNAs cope with the degeneracy of the genetic code in two manners: having more than one tRNA (with a specific anti-codon) for a particular amino acid; and 'wobble' base-pairing, i.e. permitting non-standard base-pairing at the 3rd anti-codon position. The record is from RNAcentral. Lineage: Bacteria; Candidatus Roizmaniibacteriota. RNAcentral also lists the same sequence under 2 other names.